UGGGGAAUUUUGGACAAUGGGCGAAAGCCUGAUCCAGCAAUGCCGCGUGUGUGAAGAAGGCCUUCGGGUUGUAAAGCACUUUUGUCCGGAAAGAAAUCCUCUGGGUUAAUACCUCGGGGGGAUGACGGUACCGGAAGAAUAAGCACCGGCUAACUACGUGCCAGCAGCCGCGGUAAUACGUAGGGUGCAAGCGUUAAUCGGAAUUACUGGGCGUAAAGCGUGCGCAGGCGGUUUUGUAAGACGGAUGUGAAAUCCCCGGGCUUAACCUGGGAACUGCAUUCGUGACUGCAAGGCUAGAGUAUGGCAGAGGGGGGUAGAAUUCCACGUGUAGCAGUGAAAUGCGUAGAGAUGUGGAGGAAUACCGAUGGCGAAGGCAGCCCCCUGGGCCAAUACUGACGCUCAUGCACGAAAGCGUGGGGAGCAAACAGGAUUAGAUACCCUGGUAGUCCACGCCCUAAACCGAUGUCAACUAGUUGUUGGGGAUUCAUUUCCUUAGUAACGUAGCUAACGCGUGAAGUUGACCGCCUGGGGGAGUACGGUCGCAAGAUUAAAACUCAAAUGAAUUGACGGGGUCAUAGCUG
This 581-nucleotide ribosomal RNA is filed under the name uncultured bacterium. RNAcentral's name for it is "partial 16S ribosomal RNA". It matches the Rfam family "Bacterial small subunit ribosomal RNA", at positions 355 to 932 of the family's 1533-position model. The record is from RNAcentral.